Molecule: ribosomal RNA, 486 nt
Filed under: uncultured bacterium
Lineage: Bacteria
Description: partial 16S ribosomal RNA
Rfam family: Bacterial small subunit ribosomal RNA
Source: RNAcentral
AUUGAACGCUGGCGGCAUGCCUUACACAUGCAAGUCGAACGGCAGCACGGGUGCUUGCACCUGGUGGCGAGUGGCGAACGGGUGAGUAAUACAUCGGAACAUGUCCUGUAGUGGGGGAUAGCCCGGCGAAAGCCGGAUUAAUACCGCAUACGAUCUACGGAUGAAAGCGGUGGACCUUCGGGCCUCGCGCUAUAGGGUUGGCCGAUGGCUGAUUAGCUAGUUGGUGGGGUAAAGGCCUACCAAGGCGACGAUCAGUAGCUGGUCUGAGAGGACGACCAGCCACACUGGGACUGAGACACGGCCCAGACUCCUACGGGAGGCAGCAGUGGGGAAUUUUGGACAAUGGGCGAAAGCCUGAUCCAGCAAUGCCGCGUGUGUGAAGAAGGCCUUCGGGUUGUAAAGCACUUUUGUCCGGAAAGAAAUCCUUGGCCCUAAUACGGUCGGGGGAUGACGGUACCGGAAGAAUAAGCACCGGCUAACUACGUG